Molecule: long non-coding RNA, 616 nt
Organism: Nomia melanderi (Alkali bee)
Lineage: Eukaryota; Metazoa; Arthropoda; Insecta; Hymenoptera; Halictidae
Source: RefSeq, a predicted model, not a curated record
ACAGAGGUCACUUUUCGUACCCGUAAACAGCCACACUUCGCCUCGGACAGUUGAAAAUAUCAUUAGUUCGACCAUCAACUAGCGACCAUACACAAUAAAUAUAAAUUUACACCGUUAAAUCACGUCCAUCAUGUUCGUAUACAUAAUUCUUUCAAACGCGCUCCGCCGAAAUGAAUUUUUCCAACACGCUUCAGUCCUCGUGAAUUAUUUCAAGAAAACUGAAAGCAUACAGCGAAAUACUCCGAAACAGAUUCCAUCUUGUUGCAGAAGAAGAGAGAUUAUAAUUUUCGACACAGUUCUCAUUUUCACAUUUACCGGUGCUGAUUGGAUUAUAUUGACUUCUACAUAGUAAGACAGCAAGAUCAAUGAGUAUACUAGUAAUUAGUGCAUUUUCUUUAUAAUAUUUGUUUAAUAUUUCAUUAAUUCAUUCAUACCAACACAUUUAGGGAGUUAGAAAAAAUUGAGGAAUAAUUUAAACUAGUACAUUUUUACAUAUAUCAUUAAAUUAUUGUGUUAGUAGGUAUGUUAUUAAAUAUCAAUACAUUGUAGUAUUUCUUUUGAUUCGUUAAGGGUAUUUAACCCUAAUCUACGAACAGUUUUGACAAUUGUUUCGUUG